CUACGGGGGGCUCCAGUGAGGAAUUUUGCGCAAUGGGGGGAACCCUGACGCAGCAACGCCGCGUGAGUGAUGAAGGCUUUCGGGUCGUAAAGCUCUGUCAAGUGGGAAGAACCUAUGCAGUGUUAAUAUCACUGUAUACUGACGGUACCACUGAAGGAAGCACCGGCUAACUCCGUGCCAGCAGCCGCGGUAAUACGGGGGGUGCAAGCGUUAUUCGGAAUCAUUGGGCGUAAAGGGCACGUAGGCGGCUUGGUAAGUCAGAUGUGAAAGCCCGGGGCUUAACCCCGGAAGUGCAUUUGGUACUGUCAGGCUUGAGUAUGGGAGAGGGAAGUGGAAUUCCUGGUGUAGAGGUGAAAUUCGUAGAUAUCAGGAGGAACACCGGUGGCGAAGGCGACUUCCUGGACCAAUACUGACGCUGAGGUGCGAAGGCGUGGGUAGCAAACAGGAUUAGAUACCCGUGUAGUC
This 465-nucleotide ribosomal RNA is filed under the name uncultured bacterium. RNAcentral describes it as "partial 16S ribosomal RNA". It matches the Rfam family "Bacterial small subunit ribosomal RNA", at positions 339 to 795 of the family's 1533-position model. The record is from RNAcentral.